GUCGGAGUGGCGGAACUGGCAGACGCGCACGUUUGAGGGGCGUGUGUCUAUGACAUGCGGGUUCAAGUCCCGCCUCCGACACCA
This 84-nucleotide transfer RNA is filed under the name Bacillota bacterium. RNAcentral describes it as "Firmicutes bacterium (anaerobic digester metagenome) tRNA-Leu". It matches the Rfam family "tRNA". From Rfam's summary of the family: Transfer RNA (tRNA) molecules are approximately 80 nucleotides in length. The record is from RNAcentral. Lineage: Bacteria; Bacillati; Bacillota.